This 260-nucleotide ribosomal RNA is filed under the name uncultured bacterium. RNAcentral describes it as "partial 16S ribosomal RNA". It matches the Rfam family "Bacterial small subunit ribosomal RNA", at positions 96 to 354 of the family's 1533-position model. The record is from RNAcentral.
UGGCGGACGAGUGAGUAACGCGUAUCCAACCUGCCCUUUACUAUGGGACAGCCCGUCGAAAGGCGGAUUAAUACCGUAUGUUGUCAUGUUGAUGCAUAUUUUCAUGACCAAAGGCUUCGGCCGGUAAAGGAUGGGGAUGCGUCUGAUUAGCUUGCCGGCGGGGUAACGGCCCACCGGGGCGACGAUCAGUAGGGGUUCUGAGAGGAAGGUCCCCCACAUUGGAACUGAGACACGGUCCAAACUCCUACGGGAGGCAGCAG